AUUGAACGCUGGCGGCAGGCUUAACACAUGCAAGUCGAGCGGGGAGAUGUAGCUUGCUACAUAUCCUAGCGGCGGACGGGUGAGUAAUGCUUAGGAAUCUGCCUAUUAGUGGGGGACAACAUUCCGAAAGGAAUGCUAAUACCGCAUACGCCCUACGGGGGAAAGCAGGGGAUCUUCGGACCUUGCGCUAAUAGAUGAGCCUAAGUCGGAUUAGCUAGUUGGUGGGGUAAAGGCCUACCAAGGCGACGAUCUGUAGCGGGUCUGAGAGGAUGAUCCGCCACACUGGGACUGGGACACGGCCCAGACUCCUACGGGAGGCAGCAGUGGGGAAUAUUGGACAAUGGGCGCAAGCCUGAUCCAGCCAUGCCGCGUGUGUGAAGAAGGCCUUUUGGUUGUAAAGCACUUUAAGCGAGGAGGAGGCUCCUUUAGUUAAUACCUAAAGAGAGUGGACGUUACUCGCAGAAUAAGCACCGGCUAACUCUGUG
RNAcentral lists this ribosomal RNA (485 nucleotides) under uncultured bacterium. RNAcentral's name for it is "partial 16S ribosomal RNA". It matches the Rfam family "Bacterial small subunit ribosomal RNA", at positions 30 to 507 of the family's 1533-position model. The record is from RNAcentral.